RNAcentral lists this microRNA precursor (90 nucleotides) under Tetraodon nigroviridis (spotted green pufferfish). RNAcentral describes it as "miRNA (ENSTNIG00000020115.1)". The stretch from base 10 to 81 matches the Rfam family "miR-430 microRNA precursor family". The record is from RNAcentral. Lineage: Eukaryota; Metazoa; Chordata; Actinopteri; Tetraodontiformes; Tetraodontidae.
UAGUCACUUGAAGUUACCCAAACACUGGCACUGACUUGACAUUUUCAGAUACAGUAAGUGCUACUUGUUGGGGUAAUUUUAUUGACCUUU